CUUCAUAUCAAUUUCAUUAUUAAAGCCAUUACUCUUAAAAUUAUGAUCAGUAUGGAAAUUAUUGAAACUAUACUUCAAUGAGUCAAGUAAGUUACUAUUUCGUUUCAACAUCUCAAAGGUAACUUCUUAUCUAUACAACAUAUCCAAAGUUAACUGUUUGAUAUCUCUAAAGAAGUUAUUGGCACACCUUAAAUUGCCAGAUUGGAUGUCAAGAGUCUUCUCAAUACAAUUGAUUUUCCUAUGAAUCUUGUACGCCAAUUCAUUUAUAUUUGAUAAACUCAAGUUCAAUAAUUCAGACAUGCUCCAAAAAAGGAUUUAGAGCAUUAAUUACUGCUCGAUUAAUCAUAGCAUUCAACAUUUCUUUGUUUACUUUACUACCAGAUACUGAACAUUCAUCUUGGAUGACGUUAGAGUUAUCACCCUGAUAGAGUAUUUCAUUUUGAGUUAUUGUUUCAGAGCCAUUAAUAAAAUUAUAACCUAUUUCUAUAGAAAGGGAUUGUCCUAACUUAGAAUUUCAUCUCUAGUGCAUUGAGAAAAAUCACUUGAACUACAUUUUAGAUACUUAAUUUUCAUCCUUCACUCCUUGUUAUUUAUAUAAAUAGGUUGUUCUUAAUAUACAUGUGCAUUCAAAAUGAAAGUAACAACUACAUCCAUAACAAUAAAAUCCAGUUUCAUUCAAUGCUACAGUUAUAUUGCACACAGAGCAAAGCCCAGUUUUUACACUCACCACUCUUGUUCCUGAUCUUCUUUUCUUUUCUUUUUUGUGAAAAUAUUUGCUCCGAUAAAAGAGGUUGCCAAGUGGAAAAGUUUGAGAAGCUCUGCUUUAAACAACCCUAGUACUGCAACAUAGCUUCUGAGAUGAUGCUAAUAUUAGAGAAAAUUAUUUCAAAUUGUUAAAAUUCGAUUAUAAUCAUCAAGAAUUUAUUUGACAUAUAUUAAGUUCAAUUAUUGCUCUGUGUCUUUAUAAACUCUUUUCAUUUAAAUAAAAAUGUUUUACCUGCCUUUUAUAGUACUUGAUUCUGAAGUAAUGAAGUAAUGUUUCAUUAAUUUUCCAGACAGAAUAAAUAUGUAUUCUUUCUGAAUAAUUAACAAAAUGCUGGAUAAUAAGAUGUAAUUUUUUUAAUUGCCU
This 1129-nucleotide long non-coding RNA is filed under the name Androctonus crassicauda. Lineage: Eukaryota; Metazoa; Arthropoda; Arachnida; Scorpiones; Buthidae. The record is from RNAcentral.